RNA transcript from Beta vulgaris subsp. vulgaris (sugar beet), 1154 nucleotides. It is a transcript of the gene named elongation factor 1-delta, with no coding region annotated. The transcript has 6 exons. Lineage: Eukaryota; Viridiplantae; Streptophyta; Magnoliopsida; Caryophyllales; Amaranthaceae. The record is from RefSeq and is a predicted model, not a curated record.
UCCCCCAGUAUUUCACCUUUAUGUUUUCUCCCUCACUCCCUGCCUUCAUCUCCUUCCAUACUCAGCCACCGAAAUGCCAACUACUGCCAUUCUCUCCAUCUCCUUCCAUACGUUCGUAGAAACUCUGAAUUCGGACGAUGGAUCCCCCAUUUCUAGGGUUUCCAGUUCAAUUUUCACUCGCAUACUAAAGUGAUUUGAAUUUAUUUCAACCCUCUCUCAUAUGAAAAGCAAGAAAUACGCGGUCUAAGUUCGCCACGAUUCUAGAUUGUUUGAACUCCUAUCUCUAUUCUUGUUUUCUCUCCUUUUUAGAUCUUAAACCAUAAUUCCCUAAUCCUUCUCGCUCUUCUUUGAAAUCAACAAUUAGGGAGGAUUUUUGGCAAAGUUAAAUCAAGAGGAAGAGAAGGGCGAAGAUGUUCGACAUUCAGAAAUGACCAAGCAAACCACUGCUGUUCCCAUGCUGCUGUUCCGGAGCAUGUCAAAGACGAAUUAAUUGAGCUCCUGCUGAUGCUAUUAGAGAUGCGUUUAAAUUGGAGUUUAAUGAUGAAUGUAAUUCGGUAUAUUAAUCUUUGGCUUCCUAUGUCAACGUAUCUAGGUGGUACAAACAUAUCGAUGCACUUUUGAGGAUCUCUGGUGUGUCUGGUGAGGGAUCAGGUGUUACUGUUGAAGGUAAUGCUCCUGCUUCUGAUGUCGCUACACCUCCAGCAGCUGACUCUAAGACUUCAGCUGCUGAUGAUGACGACGAUGAUGUUGAUCUUUUUGGGGAAGAGACUGAAGAGGAGAAGAAGGCUGCUGAAGAACGAGCGGCGGCUGCUGCUGCUAAGCCCGCUAAGAAGAAAGAAUAGGUUGUUGUGGUGUCUUGAGGAGCAGGUUUUGAAUCAAUCUGAUGGUGAUGAUGUUUUUAGGGUGUGACAAUGAUGAAGAAGCUAUUGCAAGGAUGGAAGAAUCACCAUCAGGCAAAAGGGUGACUGGGUGACAAGCAUCUUUCUUUAGUUUAGAUUUAUAGUUCUUACCUGUUUUUCACGGAACUUUUUGUAGAAUACUAAUGGUGUCGUGAAGGCAUAUAAGAUUUUUUUUGCAAUUAUUAGCUAGUUGUUUAUACUUGUGUCAUGGCAUAUUAAUUUUUUAUUUGAUUAAUAAAAUUUCACUUUAUAUCC